Molecule: transfer RNA, 82 nt
Filed under: Rhipicephalus sanguineus (brown dog tick)
Lineage: Eukaryota; Metazoa; Arthropoda; Arachnida; Ixodida; Ixodidae
Description: transfer RNA serine (anticodon CGA)
Rfam family: tRNA
About the family: Transfer RNA (tRNA) molecules are approximately 80 nucleotides in length. Their secondary structure includes four short double-helical elements and three loops (D, anti-codon, and T loops). Further hydrogen bonds mediate the characteristic L-shaped molecular structure. tRNAs have two regions of fundamental functional importance: the anti-codon, which is responsible for specific mRNA codon recognition, and the 3' end, to which the tRNAs corresponding amino acid is attached (by aminoacyl-tRNA synthetases). tRNAs cope with the degeneracy of the genetic code in two manners: having more than one tRNA (with a specific anti-codon) for a particular amino acid; and 'wobble' base-pairing, i.e. permitting non-standard base-pairing at the 3rd anti-codon position.
Source: Rfam by way of RNAcentral
GCAGUCGUGGCCGAGUGGUUAAGGCGACGGACUCGAAAUCCAUUGGGAGCUUCCCGCGCAGGUUCGAAUUUUGCCGACUGCA